Molecule: transfer RNA, 72 nt
Filed under: Ovis aries (sheep)
Lineage: Eukaryota; Metazoa; Chordata; Mammalia; Artiodactyla; Bovidae
Rfam family: tRNA
About the family: Transfer RNA (tRNA) molecules are approximately 80 nucleotides in length.
Source: Rfam by way of RNAcentral
UCCCUGGUGGCUCAGACGGUAAAGCAUCUGCCUGCAAUGUGGGAGACCUGGGUUCGAUCCCCGGGUUGGGAA